CAGUCGCCACGGUAAUACGGAGGGGGCUAGCGUUGUUCGGAAUUACUGGGCGUAAAGCGCACGUAGGCGGCUUGGUAAGUUAGAGGUGAAAGCCCGGAGCUCAACUCCGGAAUUGCCUUUAAGACUGCCGAGCUAGUAGGUGAGAGAGGUAAGUGGAAUUCCGAGUGUAGAGGUGAAAUUCGUAGAUAUUCGGAAGAACACCAGUGGCGAAGGCGACUCGCUGGACAAGUAUUGACGCUGAGGUGCGAAAGCGUGGGGAGCAAACAGGAUUAGAUACCCCUGUAGUCCCUGUCUCUUAUAC
RNAcentral lists this ribosomal RNA (301 nucleotides) under uncultured bacterium. RNAcentral describes it as "partial 16S ribosomal RNA". It matches the Rfam family "Bacterial small subunit ribosomal RNA", at positions 509 to 807 of the family's 1533-position model. The record is from RNAcentral.